RNAcentral lists this ribosomal RNA (492 nucleotides) under uncultured bacterium. RNAcentral describes it as "partial 16S ribosomal RNA". It matches the Rfam family "Bacterial small subunit ribosomal RNA", at positions 29 to 507 of the family's 1533-position model. The record is from RNAcentral.
AGUGAACGCUGGCGGUAGGCCUAACACAUGCAAGUCGAACGGCAGCACAGUAAGAGCUUGCUCUUACGGGUGGCGAGUGGCGGACGGGUGAGGAAUACAUCGGAAUCUACUUUUUCGUGGGGGAUAACGUAGAGAAACUUACGCUAAUACCGCAUACGACCUACGGGUGAAAGCAGGGGAUCUUCGGACCUUGCGCGAUUGAAUGAGCCGAUGUCGGAUUAGCUAGUUGGCGGGGUAAAGGCCCACCAAGGCGACGAUCCGUAGCUGGUCUGAGAGGAUGAUCAGCCACACUGGAACUGAGACACGGUCCAGACUCCUACGGGAGGCAGCAGUGGGGAAUGUUGGACAAUGGGCGCAAGCCUGAUCCAGCCAUACCGCGUGGGUGAAGAAGGCCUUCGGGUUGUAAAGCCCUUUUGUUGGGAAAGAAAAGCAGCAGGUUAAUACCCCGCUGUUCUGACGGUACCCAAAGAAUAAGCACCGGCUAACUUCGUG